Molecule: ribosomal RNA, 245 nt
Filed under: uncultured bacterium
Lineage: Bacteria
Description: partial 16S ribosomal RNA
Rfam family: Bacterial small subunit ribosomal RNA
Source: RNAcentral
AUCGCCCUACGGGACGCAGCAGUGGGGAAUAUUGGGCAAUGGGCGCAAGCCUGACCCAGCAACGCCGCGUGAAGGAAGAAGGCUUUCGGGUUGUAAACUUCUUUUAUCAGGGACGAAGCAAGUGACGGUACCUGAUGAAUAAGCCACGGCUAACUACGUGCCAGCAGCCGCGGUAAUACGUAGGUGGCAAGCGUUAUCCGGAUUUACUGGGUGUAAAGGGAGCGUAGACGGAAAGGCAAGUCAGA